This 451-nucleotide ribosomal RNA is filed under the name Neisseria meningitidis. RNAcentral's name for it is "bacterial SSU rRNA". It matches the Rfam family "Bacterial small subunit ribosomal RNA", at positions 30 to 475 of the family's 1533-position model. The record is from RNAcentral. Lineage: Bacteria; Pseudomonadati; Pseudomonadota; Betaproteobacteria; Neisseriales; Neisseriaceae.
AUUGAACGCUGGCGGCAUGCUUUACACAUGCAAGUCGGACGGCAGCACAGAGAAGCUUGCUUCUUGGGUGGCGAGUGGCGAACGGGUGAGUAACAUAUCGGAACGUACCGAGUAGUGGGGGAUAACUGAUCGAAAGAUCAGCUAAUACCGCAUACGUCUUGAGAGGGAAAGCAGGGGACCUUCGGGCCUUGCGCUAUUCGAGCGGCCGAUAUCUGAUUAGCUAGUUGGUGGGGUAAAGGCCUACCAAGGCGACGAUCAGUAGCGGGUCUGAGAGGAUGAUCCGCCACACUGGGACUGAGACACGGCCCAGACUCCUACGGGAGGCAGCAGUGGGGAAUUUUGGACAAUGGGCGCAAGCCUGAUCCAGCCAUGCCGCGUGUCUGAAGAAGGCCUUCGGGUUGUAGAGGACUUUUGUCAGGGAAGAAAAGGCUGUUGCUAAUAUCAUCAGCUG